GGAGUUUGGACCGUGUCUCAGUUCCAAUGUGGGGGACCUUCCUCUCAGAACCCCUACUGAUCGUUGGCUCGGUGGGCCGUUACCCCGCCGACUACCUAAUCAGACGCAUCCCCAUCCCAUAGCGAUGAAUCUUUCGUCCAGGUCAGAUGUCUUCUCUGGACAGCAUAGGGAAUUAAUCCGACUUUCGCCGGGCUGUGCCC
RNAcentral lists this ribosomal RNA (200 nucleotides) under uncultured Prevotella sp. Its description in RNAcentral is "partial 16S ribosomal RNA". Lineage: Bacteria; Pseudomonadati; Bacteroidota; Bacteroidia; Bacteroidales; Prevotellaceae. The record is from RNAcentral.